This 138-nucleotide small RNA is filed under the name Pongo abelii (Sumatran orangutan). RNAcentral describes it as "processed transcript". The record is from RNAcentral. Lineage: Eukaryota; Metazoa; Chordata; Mammalia; Primates; Hominidae.
GAGAGCCUGCGGGACCCCCACUCCCCCCACUUAGAGGUUGAACACGGCGGGGCUGCAGGGUCCAGGUGGAGUUCUACGUUAACGAGAACACCUUCAAGGAGCGGCUCAAGCUGUUCUUCAUCAAAAACCAAAGAUCGA